CGGUCAACAAAGGGAUGCGAAGCCGCGAGGCAGAGCGAACCCAAAAAGCCGUCCCAGUUCGGAUCGCAGGCUGCAACCCGCCUGCGUGAAGUCGGAAUCGCUAGUAAUCGCGGAUCAGCAUGCCGCGGUGAAUACGUUCCCGGGUCUUGUACACACCGCCCGUCACACCAUGGGAGUCGGAAAUGCCCGAAGCCGGUGACCCAACCAAAAGGAGGGAGCCGUCGAAGGCAGGUCUGAUAACUGGGGUGAAGUCGUAACAAGGUACC
This 266-nucleotide ribosomal RNA is filed under the name uncultured bacterium. RNAcentral describes it as "partial 16S ribosomal RNA". It matches the Rfam family "Bacterial small subunit ribosomal RNA", at positions 1234 to 1500 of the family's 1533-position model. The record is from RNAcentral.